Long non-coding RNA from Cynoglossus semilaevis (tongue sole), 575 nucleotides. RefSeq lists it as uncharacterized. The transcript is spliced from 2 exons. The record is from RefSeq and is a predicted model, not a curated record. Lineage: Eukaryota; Metazoa; Chordata; Actinopteri; Pleuronectiformes; Cynoglossidae.
UUAAACGGAGAUUUUCUUUUUUUAAAAAAUGUUUGUUUACUCCAAUGGUGUCAUGGGUGGAAACUUAACUUGGUUAAUAAGAGAGACUGUAAGCUGUAUAAUACAGCUACCGCUAAAAUUAGUUACUAUUUAAAAUAGUGUUUAAGCAGACACACUGACAGUACAGCAGGAGACUGGAGUACGACUGGAACACGUUUCAGGGUCGUAGUAUGGUCAACAACAACAGUCCUGGGGUGAGGGUCUGUCACGGAGCCAAAUACAAUGAACAACCGUUCACACUAAAACUCAUACCUAUAAAGGUUCGUGUUGGGAUAUUUUCCCUUAACGUCUGUCGGGUUUUUUCCCCCCUCAGUGUGAAAUAGAGAUUUGAAGCUUGCAAUAAGAGAAACCUCCAGAAAUCAGUUGAACUUACUGCUGCCCGAAGUUGUGCCUCCUUGGUGUGCGGACGUAGCAGGACUCUUCCGGGCUGAAGAAGCGUCCAGCGGCGGCUAUGGUCAACAGCGCGGACAGAAAGGCAACAAACAGUGGGACUCUGCGGGCCAUCGCAGCGAGAGAGCAGUAAACAGAGCGAUGAA